CGCCGAGGAGAACUCAUUUAUUACUUUCCUCAGGGUCAUAUCGAGCAGGUGCAAGCAUCGACGAAUCAGGUGGCUGAUCAGCAAAUGCCUUCUUAUAAUCUUCCUGCGAAAAUUUUAUGUCGUGUGGUCAAUGUUCAAUUAAAGGCCGAACCAGACACAGAUGAAGUUUUUGCUCAAAUAACUUUGCUCCCUCAACUUGAACAAGAUGAAAAAUUGGUCGAGGAGGCUUUGCCUUCACCUACACGUCCGCGGG
This 253-nucleotide unclassified non-coding RNA is filed under the name Hevea brasiliensis (rubber tree). The record is from RNAcentral. Lineage: Eukaryota; Viridiplantae; Streptophyta; Magnoliopsida; Malpighiales; Euphorbiaceae.